AUGUACAAAAUACCCCUGCCAGAAACUAAGAAUGUUCAUAGUAAUUUGAAAAGUAUCUCAUGCUUGAUUCUUAUACACUUGCAUACACAUCCCUCCUCCUCCUCUUCUCUUCUUCUUCCUCCUCUCGUCUCCCCCAAUCCGAUGUGUGCGUGCAUUUAUUUUUGUAGGUUCGUGAAGAGGCCAAUCUGGUGUUGUGAAAGAAGGGGGCUGGCCAUGGAGAAGAUCCCACGGCGAGCUCCUCAGGACUGCUUUCAAUGGGGGGAGAAGCUUAGAGAACUUCAAUUAAAUAGAAGAACUAUCCAUGAUUUCAUUGCUGUGAAGGAAUUCAAGUUGUCGCACCUGGAGAACUUGCCCAUCAGAGGGAGCAAUGAAGACAUUGUUAAAAUAGUACCAUAUGUGCUCCUACGUGUUGAACAAUGUUAUGUAGUAGUGAGAUAA
RNAcentral lists this ribosomal RNA (438 nucleotides) under Triticum aestivum (bread wheat). RNAcentral's name for it is "partial small subunit ribosomal RNA". The record is from RNAcentral. Lineage: Eukaryota; Viridiplantae; Streptophyta; Magnoliopsida; Poales; Poaceae.